AACCUGGCGGCGUGCUUAACACAUGCAAGUCGAGUGCGCGUUUCCGUAGCAAUACGGGAAUGGCGCACGGCGCACGGGUGCGUAACACGUGGGUAAUCUGCCCUCUGAUGGGGAAUAACCCGCCGAAAGGCGGGCUAAUACCGCAUAACAUUCCUUGGACUCCGGUUCGAGGAUUCAAAGGCGCAAGUCGUCGGAGGUGGAGCCCGCGCACGAUUAGCUAGUUGGUAGGGUAAUGGCCUACCAAGGCUAUGAUCGUUAGCUGGUCUGAGAGGAUGGCCAGCCACACUGGAACUGAGACACGGUCUANACUCCUACGGGAGGCAGCAGUGGGGAAUCUUGCACAAUGGGCGAAAGCCUGAUGCAGCGACGCCGCGUGGGGGAUGAAGCUUCUCGGAGUGUAAACCCCUUUCGACCGGGACGAAUGCCCGCAAGGGACUGACGGUACCGGUAUAAGAAGCCCCGGCUAACUACGUGCCAGCAGCCGCGGUAAGACGUAGGGGGCCAGCGUUGCUCGGAAUUACUGGGUGUAAAGGGUUCGUAGGCGGUGUGGCAAGUCGGGAGUGAAAUCUCUGGGCUUAACUCAGGGGCUGCUUCCGAAAAUGCCGUGCUAAA
RNAcentral lists this ribosomal RNA (612 nucleotides) under uncultured bacterium. RNAcentral's name for it is "bacterial SSU rRNA". It matches the Rfam family "Bacterial small subunit ribosomal RNA", at positions 32 to 645 of the family's 1533-position model. The record is from RNAcentral.